Long non-coding RNA from Sebastes umbrosus (honeycomb rockfish), 1158 nucleotides. RefSeq lists it as uncharacterized. The transcript has 3 exons. The record is from RefSeq and is a predicted model, not a curated record. NCBI's taxonomy places the organism in Eukaryota, Metazoa, Chordata, Actinopteri, Perciformes, Sebastidae.
AACAUAUACAUUAAGAACAUAAACAGUAUAUACAGUAUAAGAUAUAUUUUUGUGUGAGAAGGUGUCUUAUGAAUUAUCUAUUUAAAAGUCUGAUGGCCUGGGGGAAAAAAACAGUUUUAUCAAAUCAGUCAAUGGUGCAACCUGUUAAUCUGUGGUCCUGUGGGGCGUUUGCUGUUUUCAGUGUGGGUAAAUACGCUUAAAAUGUAAUUUCUGUACAAAACGAUCGAAAGAUGUACAAUAGUGCACACAGUGCAGAUAAUAAUGCACACAGUGCACUUUCAUAGACUAAGCUACUGGAGUUACCCUGCACUAUACUAAUUUUUAACAGUCUCUUCUGCACUUUAUUCACUUUUUUAAUAGUCGUGUAUCACAGCUGUUACCCUACACUAUAUUCAGUUUUAACAGUUUUCUUCAUCUCCUUUGCACUACUAACUUUUUUACUGACUUUUUACUAACAAGUUUUUCACUAUGGAACUGUGAUGCUUGAAACUUGAAUUUCCCUCGGGAUCAAUAAAGUUGCCAUCUAUCUAUCUAUCUAUCUAUCUAUCUAUCUAUCUAUCUAUCUAUCUAAUAAUAUAAUUGUAUAUAAUUCAGGUAAAUUGUUGUUUACAUAUUUUAUCCACAUGUGCUGAGUAUUCAUGAGAUCACUGCAAGGUUAAUCUUUUCUGAAAGCUGCUGUAUGGGGUUGAUGGUCGCCACCUUAGCGCAAAGAUAGAAUGCAAUCUGCAUAACGGAACGGAUACCUGCUGCCGUCAGAUGGCUGUAAAGAGAGACAGUGUAAAGUCAGUAGUACUAACCGUCAUGACAGACAGAGCUUUAUUCUAUAGUUGUCAAUAAUGCCAUGACUGCUGGUUGAAAAACCAUGUUGUAGAAUAGAGUUAGUGUUGCUAUCCCUGUUGGGUUUCCUGGUAAAAAAUAUGUUGUGGAUAUCUGAAAUGACAAUUAUGGAUAGGAAGUGGAUAUCUGAAAUGUUCUUUUGACUAGUAAAUUACACCUUUGGGAUCAAGUGUCAAAUAGUGAAUUCAGUGCAACAGCACCAGCAGAGGGCUCACUGUGAUACACACCAACCAGAAGUGUGUGACUGUGUUUUAGACCGGAGGAAGUGGACUCUAUUAGUGACUUGACCUGAAGAGAACUACAGCUCAGGUUAUCAGUCAG